UGUUUAAUGUUCUGUUUUUCUAAAACAUUAUUUUCAUUCUAUUUUGCGCAAAGCUUGCCAAAUCAUUAUUGAUAUUGCAUUUUUAUAUUUACAGGCGCGGUUCUUUAAUGAGGCCAAAAUUGAAGAGUUUAAGGAAUGCUUUAACUUUCAUGCACGCCUGGAUUAUAUUACACGAGAAGGUGAUCUUUCCAUCAUAUUGCGGUCACUUGGAUACAGUCCAACAAGGGAAGAAACAGCCAGCUACUAUGCAAAAUAUGCCACUAAGAGAGUUCUGGAAGUCCUGUCCGGCAGCAUGACGAUCCGGUGGCGGAUCAUGGUGUGAGGCGCGUCUUUCAGCACCAUAUCUUUAGGAUAACUCACCUGCCACAAGGGGUUCGCCUCGUGUCGUCAACAGUGCACUAGGACAUAUUAUACACAGCUGUGUAUUGUGAACAGCUGUGCGUUUUGACACGAUGUGAAAUGUAUCGCAGUGAAGGUUACUUUGUCAAUUAUCUGCCAUGGGUAAUGUAUCAUACAAAAUGUAUUUAAUGCUUAGCCUUGUACUGUACAUGUCUCGAUCGUGUAUAACUACUGUACUACAGCUUCUACUAUUUCUACUGUACAUCUCUUACCGUGUAUGAUGGAAAGACCAAGUCAGAAAAAGAACCAUUCGUAAGUGAUUUCUUUUGUCAUCGCCCUCGACUAUCCGAGGGUGAAUCUUGCGGAGACGAUGAUAUGAUAGUGAUGAUGACACCGGCUAAAUAUCAUAUUUACAAAAGUACUAACGCUAAGUUGUAAUAUAUAAUAUAUACAAUUGUUAUUUUGUUGUGAUGAAGCAUGAACUGAACACUGCGUUCUGUGUGUGUGCGCCUGCGCGCGCGCGUACAUGCGUGUUCUUGCAAUCUGCAUGAAAGCCUUGAGGCGACAUUUGACUAAACUGUGAAGAUUA
Pomacea canaliculata is the source of this 928-nucleotide long non-coding RNA. RefSeq lists it as uncharacterized. The record is from RefSeq and is a predicted model, not a curated record. Lineage: Eukaryota; Metazoa; Mollusca; Gastropoda; Architaenioglossa; Ampullariidae. The transcript has 3 exons.